Molecule: long non-coding RNA, 486 nt
Organism: Denticeps clupeoides (denticle herring)
Lineage: Eukaryota; Metazoa; Chordata; Actinopteri; Clupeiformes; Denticipitidae
Source: Ensembl
ACUGGGGUUCCUAUGAUGAUGAGUGUCUACCCAAUGUCCCAAGCCAAAAUCCAGAACAGCAUCCCUAACAUUGGACAGCAAAUGGUUGAAGUGAUGAUGUUUCCUGGACUCUGGAUUAGCCAUGAAGGACAAGUUCUCUCUGUGGAUUUUGUAACACGACCCUUUAAAGAUGUAUCCCAUGCCAGAGUUCAGAUUUUUCGGCCCUACUGCAGCCCCAGCCAUCACCUUGUCCCACCAGGGUGUAGCUUCCUUGCUAAUCCCUUCAGCAGUUGCUCUCUGAUUCCAUUUUGCAACACAACCGGGGGCUGUUCGUAUGCACACUACUGGUGUCCUCUACUGGAGACUUGCCUGCCUGUAACAAGUCCAUGUACUCCCUACCACACAAGCACUUGGGGGAGAACCGUCUCACUGCCUCCUCGCUACAUUUCAACCCCACCAUUCUUCCAGCUAAUGGUGGACAUACCCCUGACCCUACCUCCAAACUCU